This 73-nucleotide transfer RNA is filed under the name Loxodonta africana (African savanna elephant). It matches the Rfam family "tRNA". Rfam says of the family: Transfer RNA (tRNA) molecules are approximately 80 nucleotides in length. Their secondary structure includes four short double-helical elements and three loops (D, anti-codon, and T loops). The record is from Rfam by way of RNAcentral. Lineage: Eukaryota; Metazoa; Chordata; Mammalia; Proboscidea; Elephantidae.
GCUCUAGUGACAUAAACAGUUAAGCACUUGGCUGCUAACCAAAAGGCUGGUGGCUCAAACCCACCCAGCAGCU